Molecule: microRNA precursor, 46 nt
Filed under: Amphilophus citrinellus (Midas cichlid)
Lineage: Eukaryota; Metazoa; Chordata; Actinopteri; Cichliformes; Cichlidae
Description: miRNA (ENSACIG00000015313.1)
Source: RNAcentral
GCCCGGUUGGUAGCUGUUGUUUCCACCUCGGGCAAAGAUGACGCUC